ACUUCAUGCCCUAUCACUCUUAACUUUCCCUUCCUUCGGCCGGUAAACUUGGGGCUGGGUUUACUGGUCACAGAGACCAACUUCCCUCAAAAAAGCAAAAUUCAGGAAAGCUCUGGAGGGAGAGGGGCUGGUAAUAGCCAAGGGUUGAUUACAUACAUAAGCCAAAUUCUUAAUGAUUAUGUAAUUAAUACAUUAUAACAAUAAAUACAUAAAUAUGCUAGUACUUACUAUGUGCUAAGCAUUCUGCUCGGCACUUUCAUGCACCCCUUGGGUAGUAAGAGCAUCCAAAGAUAUUCUAGUUCCUCCCCUGCCUCCAUUCACUGCCAAGAAGGCAGCAGCCUGCCCCCCUUCUCCCACCAUCUCACUACUGAUGCAGGGGCCAUCCCCUGGACCCUAGGCAUGGCUUUGCUCCUCAGAAUGACAGGACCAAAAGCCUUUCAUAAAGACUCCAGUGAGGUGACUGAUGUCUGGCUUUGUCAAUUACAAGUGAAUAAUUAAUACUUGCCAGUAAAGAAAUAGACUCAUUGUUACGGUGGCCACAUGGAGGCUACAAAAGGCCAUUUUGUGACGCUUUUGGUGGACCCCUGGGGCCAACAGUGGUCCAAAGAAGCUGCGUUGAGAGUGUAGUCCAAUCUUUAAACGUAGGGACUGGGACCCGUACUGUUUUCCAGGAGCGCUUUUCCCGUUAAUUAGCUUGUAGCCGAUUCAUCAUCUCAUUCAGCUUUCUGGUUGAUGACAGCAGCAGAGGCCACUGAACAUCAGAGAGGGCAUGAUUUAUCAGAGGGGUCAUGUAGUGUUCUACCAGGGCCUUUUACCGGUUUUUGAAUUCAUGUCUACUUCCUUCUCUGGGCCAGCAUCUGAUUUGAGUAAAACUCUCCAACCCCACUGGGUUGUACAUCCGACUCUUGGCCUAAUGCCUAAAGCAAGUUUUUCCUUUUUCAUUUUCCAGCAGGGACUGAACAAGGCAGCCUUGGGUGCCUACAGAACCGGUCAGAACUGGCCAGGAAAUAUAAUAAAGAAGCUUAGUGAGCAGAGAGCUAAUGCCCCCAGCCAGAGGCUCAGUGCGCACAACUAGCUAGAGGCACUGACUUUGUAAGCAACAACACUAUCUUCUUGAGGUCUAAUAAUUGCCUUGGCAAAGGGCAGCCAAUGCCAACGAGGAACCCUGUGUACACAAGUUUCUCAUCCCGAAAGUGGACACUGGGUGCUCAAAAAAUGCCUUCUGGUGACAGUAACACCUGACCAGUCAAACAAACAUGCACGCAUGCACAUGCAUGCAUACACACUCUUACAGCAUUCCUGCCUGCAGGGCCAAAGCUGCCCUUGCCAAAUACAGAGCUGACAGCUGCUAGAUAUUGUCAUUUCAGGGACCCGUUCCCAAAAGAACUACCCAGCUCCCCACCUCCACUUCCAGCCCACUGUUUGAAAUUCUACCAUUAGUGAUAGCAAAUAUUUCUACAGUGUUUCCCAUUAAAGCUUUGUUUCCCAUUAAAAUGCCUCCAUCCUCUGUUUCUUUUCCGGUCAAAUGACUUGUAAAGCACCUGCUCUGCAUCAAAUGGGAACUUCUUUUGUAUUUAGCUCUUCAAGAUAAACACAAUCAUUGGCUCCUUUCUUGAAAACCAUUUCUGACACUGGAGACUGGGGGAAGGGCAGGGCACUGUAUGGAAGUGGAGGUGGGAGGCCACCAGGAGGGCCACAGAGAGAGGGUCUAAUGGUGGAGAAAGCAACCAUCAAGGCCUUCACAGGCCUGCCCAAAGAUAUGGACCUGAUUUUUGCCCUCUAAGAUCUCAGGGACCCAGGUUGCUGGCACAGCCUGUAUCCAAGAGUAAGGUGAGACCCACUGCCCUAACUGGGACACAGACAGGAGGCAGGAAAUGGGAACACAGGAACCGACAGUCUCCUGAUUUGCCCCUCCUGCCAGCAGGCCUGCCUCCGUCUCCCUGCCCAUGCUGAGGGCACAGGCACCCAGGAACUAGCAGAAAAAGAUCCUUGUCCCAUUCUUGGCCUAGCUGGAAGGACAGCUGAUGGCUCAUCAGCCCUGGUGAGUGUUUCCACUGUGCUGGGGAAAGUAGGCAAGCAAAGGUCAAAAUCAGAUUCCCUGUGCUGGGGAGGCACCUGGGCUGUCAGUGUCCUUUCCAGCCGGGUUCUGGAUAUAGAGGGCCAUACUUAUGUGGAACAUGCUACCUGCCCCCAUCCCCAAGCAGAGAGCACCUCCUCCUCUUCUUUUGCACAUAGGUGGGCUGUUCUUUGGGGUGAGGGGUAGGGCUGACCUGAAAAGUAGACGCCACAACAGACAGGCAAGCAUCUUCCUGGUUCUUCAGAGCUCAAGAAAAAAACCACCUUUUCCCCCAGGAGUCAGCCCACUCAUCCCCUUCCCCCACUUCCACCGUGCCCGCAGCCAGCUUGGUGAGCGAUGCUAGUGUAGGCCAGAAAGCUUCCAAGCGGGUCAGACCUGCUCCUCUCUCAUCAAAGCCCUCCGCCCCCAAACAUCGACGCUGCGCCCCUCGCCCCACCCAUCACACGUUCUGUGUGCCCGAGGCGGCUGCCAGGCGGGCCCAGGCGGCUCUCGCUGGCCCUGGGGGAGGUGACGGUGGUCACGGCGGCAGAGGCAGGGGCCAGCGCUCUGCAGUACCUGGACUCGAGGAUGUCGCCGCUGCCGGGCUCGCGGCCGCUGCAGGUGUCUCCGGUCCCUGAGAUUAGCACCGCCUCCUCCCGGGCUGGCGGCUCCGGCCCAGGCCGCGCACCUGCUGCUGCGGCUCCCCCGCCGCCGCGCCGGAGCUCCGCGAUGUGCCCGCGCCUCCCGGGCAGAGGGUCCGUGCCGCGGGACGCACGGGGCCUGCCUCAACUUCAUUCUGGAAGAAUUGCCUAACGGACAAAUAGGUGGCAGGAAGCACUGAGAGGACAGUUAAGCUUAUCAUCAGGACUGCCCUUACCUAUAAAGCUGAAAACCCCCAAGCCUUGAAGGAAAAUGUUAAACACCAGCUGCCAGUCUUUUGGUUGUACAACAAGAAGGCCUGGACAACGAGAACUCUUUCUGGAUCAGUUCCAUUGAUGUUUUGUCCCUGAAGUCGGGAAGUACCUUGCCACUAAAGGUCUGCCUUUCAAGGUUCUUUUGAUAUUGAAGGAUGCCCCUCGGUUAUCUAGAACCCCAUGAGUUCAACACUGAAGGCAUCAAAGUGGUCUACUUGCCCCCAAACACAUCUCUAAUCCAGCCUCUAGAUAAGGGGGUCAUAAGGACCUUUAAUGCCCAUUAUAUAUGGUACUCUUUGGAAAAGAUUGUCAAUGCUAUGAAAGAGAACCCUGAUAGAACAUCAAGAAAGUCUGGAAGGAUUACACUGUUGAAGAUGCCACAUUGUUACAGGAAAAGCUAUUAAAGUCAUCAAUCUCAAAACAACAAGUUUCUGCUGGAGAAAACUGUGUUCAGAUGUUGUGCAUAACUUCACAGGAUUUACAGCAGAGUCAAUCAAGAAAAUCAUGAAAGAGAUUGAGCAUAUGGCAAAAA
This 3502-nucleotide long non-coding RNA is filed under the name Homo sapiens (human). Its description in RNAcentral is "HSALNT0330408". Lineage: Eukaryota; Metazoa; Chordata; Mammalia; Primates; Hominidae. The record is from RNAcentral.